RNAcentral lists this long non-coding RNA (1388 nucleotides) under Heterocephalus glaber (naked mole-rat). RNAcentral describes it as "lncRNA (ENSHGLG00000047001.1)". Lineage: Eukaryota; Metazoa; Chordata; Mammalia; Rodentia; Bathyergidae. The record is from RNAcentral.
CCCACCGGGCGUGUUUGAUGGCUUCCCUCUACUCCACACCAGAUGCCUCUGGAUGGGAUUGAACUUGGGUUCUUGCGCUUGCAAGGCAGGCAGCGAAACCACUGAGCUAAAUUCCCAGCGGCAUGAUAUUUUUAAAAAUAUGCCAUGAAGUAAACAGGCCUCCUAUGCCACACAUUCUCACUGUGAUGUACUGUGCCAGUACUGUGAUGUACUUGACCGAAAGCAACAGGGCCAAGCAACCAUGGACUGAAGCCUCUGAAACUGCAGUUGGGGCCAGCCCAUGAGGAGCCAACAUGGACAGUCGAGGAGCCAACUGGAGAGGUCAAUGAAGACACAUUCAACAAAGGCCAGCAUUAUCCUCUUUUGUUGCCAGUUCAGAGAGCCCAAGUGGUUGAAUAUCAGAUUGUUCCAUCUCGUUUCCCUUUGGAGUUGUUAGUAUCGUCCUGCUGACAAUCCUUUCCUAGGACUGCCUGUUGCCACCAGGAAAAAGAUGCCACAGAAAGUUCCCACCGGACGAAACCAGCUGCCCAGAUUUUCUUCUCAGGAAGAUUUGGGAGAAAAUUUCCCAUGAAAAAAUUUGCUAUAUGAUUUUAAUAUUUUUGUUAUUUUCAUUUUAACAAUUAUUGCAGCCAAACUAGCCAGUGACAAAAUAACUGAAAAUGAUUGUGAAUGCAUAAAAUUUAUAUGAAAUGUGAAAGUCUUUGGCCCUACUUUUUGGAAGUUAAAUGUCCCAAUAAGAAGAACCAUAAUUUUAGCAUGGAACAAAAUGUAUGUUUUUGUGUUAAUUAUAUUGAAAACAUGCAUAUUUGAAUCGAUCCUCAGUUUAUCUUGUAUUUUCACACACAAAAGAAGUUAACUCAGAAUUUUUAAGAUUUCACCAAUGGAAUAAAUUUGAAUUCUCUGAACCUGAAAAGAUAGUUUCAAUAUAUAUGAAGAAUUAUAUUUACAUUAAUGUAUAUGUAACGUGGGAGCAAAAGACCACAAAACUUCCACCGUGAAAUAACAAAUGAGAAAACAUUUGUUGAAGUCAGUUUUCCAGUGUGGUUACAGUUAUGAGGUAGAAAUGGAAAGUGUCUUUCUGAAUCUCCUUGCUUUGUAUCCUUUCCCAUUAAAGGGCAAUGAAAACUACUAGGAUUUGUACUUAUUAAAGAUUCCAAAAAUUUAAAACAAAAUGCUUAGUUUCAAAAGCUGAAGUCUGCAGUCACCAGGUCCUUUCGGUGAAAACAGUUGUCUCAUCACUUUACUUCUGGGAGAGCUGCUUGGCACAUAGUGAACAGGAAUGAAAACAUGAGACAGCAGAAAAUCUAAGACAGUGCAGUCUGACAGGCAUCCUUUUGUAAUCAGUAAUGGAAUAGCUGGAACGCUACCUUUAUACGCAGAAGUUUCUG